Molecule: ribosomal RNA, 457 nt
Filed under: uncultured Comamonadaceae bacterium
Lineage: Bacteria; Pseudomonadati; Pseudomonadota; Betaproteobacteria; Burkholderiales; Comamonadaceae
Description: bacterial SSU rRNA
Rfam family: Bacterial small subunit ribosomal RNA
Source: RNAcentral
CGGGUGGCAGCAGUGGGGAAUUUUGGACAAUGGACGCAAGUCUGAUCCAGCAAUGCCGCGUGCAGGAUGAAGGCCUUCGGGUUGUAAACUGCUUUUGUACGGAGCGAAAAGGUCUUUCCUAAUACGAAAGGCCCAUGACGGUACCGUAAGAAUAAGCACCGGCUAACUACGUGCCAGCAGCCGCGGUAAUACGUAGGGUGCAAGCGUUAAUCGGAAUUACUGGGCGUAAAGCGUGCGCAGGCGGUUAUAUAAGACAGAUGUGAAAUCCCCGGGCUCAACCUGGGACCUGCAUUUGUGACUGUAUAGCUAGAGUACGGUAGAGGGGGAUGGAAUUCCGCGUGUAGCAGUGAAAUGCGUAGAUAUGCGGAGGAACACCGAUGGCGAAGGCAAUCCCCUGGACCUGUACUGACGCUCAUGCACGAAAGCGUGGGGAGCAAACAGGAUUAGAUACCCCGGU